GACGAACGCUGGCGGCGCGCCUAACACAUGCAAGUCGAACGAGGUCUUUUAGGAAGCUUGCUUCUUGGCUGACCUAGUGGCGGACGGGUGAGUAACACGUGAGCAACCUGCCGGGGAGUGGGGGAUAACGUCUGGAAACGGACGCUAAUACCGCAUAACAUAUCGGGAUGGCAUCAUCCUGGUAUCAAAGGAGAAAUCCGCUCUUUGAUGGGCUCGCGGCCGAUUAGGUAGUUGGUGGGGUAAAGGCCCACCAAGCCGACGAUCGGUAGCCGGACUGAGAGGUUGAUCGGCCACAUUGGGACUGAGACACGGCCCAGACUCCUACGGGAGGCAGCAGUGGGGAAUAUUGCACAAUGGGGGAAACCCUGAUGCAGCGACGCCGCGUGAGUGAAGACGGCCUUCGGGUUGUAAAGCUCUGUUGACGGGGACGAUAAUGACGGUACCCGUUCAGAAAGCCACGGCUAACUACGUGCCAGCAGCCGCCGUAACAC
Molecule: ribosomal RNA, 491 nt
Filed under: uncultured bacterium
Lineage: Bacteria
Description: bacterial SSU rRNA
Rfam family: Bacterial small subunit ribosomal RNA
Source: RNAcentral